GAACCACUACGGAUGAAAAUCACGGCCUUCAUUCAUCGAACGUAAUCAAGCAGCAGCGCUCUUUUUCUAACAUAGUCCUUGUUGUACGCGACUUUUUCUCGCUUCAUGAGAUUCAGAUCAUCACCAUUCACCUCCAAACCCACAGCAUUUUAUUUUAUAUCAGAAAAAAUCCCUCAAUUAGUCAAAAAUACACAUCUCUCUCUCUCUCUCUCU
This 213-nucleotide unclassified non-coding RNA is filed under the name Hevea brasiliensis (rubber tree). Lineage: Eukaryota; Viridiplantae; Streptophyta; Magnoliopsida; Malpighiales; Euphorbiaceae. The record is from RNAcentral.